This 188-nucleotide ribosomal RNA is filed under the name uncultured soil bacterium. RNAcentral describes it as "partial 16S ribosomal RNA". It matches the Rfam family "Bacterial small subunit ribosomal RNA", at positions 26 to 218 of the family's 1533-position model. The record is from RNAcentral.
AGAUUGAACGCUGGCGGCAUGCUUUACACAUGCAAGUCGAACGGUAACAGGCCGCAAGGUGCUGACGAGUGGCGAACGGGUGAGUAAUGUAUCGGAACGUGCCCAGUCGUGGGGGAUAACGCAGCGAAUGCUGCGCUAAUACCGCAUACGAUCUAUGGAUGAAAGCGGGGGACCGUAAGGCCUCGCGC